UACGUAGGGUGCAAGCGUUGUCCGGAAUUAUUGGGCGUAAAGAGCUCGUAGGCGGUUUGUUGCGUCGGCUGUGAAAUCCCGAGGCUCAACCUCGGGUCUGCAGUCGAUACGAGCAAACUAGAGUGUUGCAGGGGAGACUGGAAUUCCUGGUGUAGCGGUGAAAUGCGCAGAUAUCAGGAGGAACACCGGUGGCGAAGGCGGGUCUCUGGGGUAGUAA
RNAcentral lists this ribosomal RNA (217 nucleotides) under uncultured bacterium. RNAcentral's name for it is "partial 16S ribosomal RNA". It matches the Rfam family "Bacterial small subunit ribosomal RNA", at positions 524 to 739 of the family's 1533-position model. The record is from RNAcentral.